Molecule: ribosomal RNA, 245 nt
Filed under: uncultured bacterium
Lineage: Bacteria
Description: partial 16S ribosomal RNA
Rfam family: Bacterial small subunit ribosomal RNA
Source: RNAcentral
UACGAAGGGGGCUAGCGUUGCUCGGAAUCACUGGGCGUAAAGGGCGCGUAGGCGGACUUUUAAGUCAGGGGUGAAAUCCUGAGGCUCAACCUCAGAACUGCCUUUGAUACUGAGGGUCUCGAGACCGGUAGAGGUAAGUGGAACUGCGAGUGUAGAGGUGAAAAUUCGUAGAUAUUCGCAAGAACACCAGUGGCGAAGGCGCUCACUGGCCCGGUACUGACGCUGAGGUGCGAAAGCGUGGGGAG